GAUCCUGGCUCAGGAUGAACGCUGGCGGCGUGCUUAACACAUGCAAGUCGAGCGAAGCAAUCUAAGUGAAGUUUUCGGAUGGAUCUUAGAUUGACUGAGCGGCGGACGGGUGAGUAACGCGUGGAUAACCUGCUUCACACAGGGGGGAUAACAGUUAGAAAUGACUGCUAAUACCGCAUAAGCGCACAGUACCGCAUGGUACAGUGUGAAAAACUCCGGU
Molecule: ribosomal RNA, 220 nt
Filed under: uncultured bacterium
Lineage: Bacteria
Description: partial 16S ribosomal RNA
Rfam family: Bacterial small subunit ribosomal RNA
Source: RNAcentral